UGGGGAAUAUUGCACAAUGGGCGCAAGCCUGAUGCAGCCAUGCCGCGUGUAUGAAGAAGGCCUUCGGGUUGUAAAGUACUUUCAGUCGGGAGGAAGGUGUCAAGGUUAAUAACCUUGGCAAUUGACGUUACCGACAGAAGAAGCACCGGCUAACUCCGUGCCAGCAGCCGUGGUAAUACGGAGGGUGCAAGCGUUAAUCGGAAUUACUGGGCGUAAAGCGCACGCAGGCGGUUGAUUGAGUCAGAUGUGAAAUCCCCGGGCUUAACCCGGGAAUUGCAUCUGAUACUGGUCAGCUAGAGUCUUGUAGAGGGGGGUAGAAUUCCAUGUGUAGCGGUGAAAUGCGUAGAGAUGUGGAGGAAUACCGGUGGCGAAGGCGGCCCCCUGGACAAAGACUGACGCUCAGGUGCGAAAGCGUGGGGAGCAAACAGG
RNAcentral lists this ribosomal RNA (429 nucleotides) under Chloroflexota bacterium. Its description in RNAcentral is "Chloroflexi bacterium partial 16S ribosomal RNA". It matches the Rfam family "Bacterial small subunit ribosomal RNA", at positions 355 to 776 of the family's 1533-position model. Lineage: Bacteria; Bacillati; Chloroflexota. The record is from RNAcentral.